Molecule: ribosomal RNA, 772 nt
Filed under: uncultured bacterium
Lineage: Bacteria
Description: bacterial SSU rRNA
Rfam family: Bacterial small subunit ribosomal RNA
Source: RNAcentral
AGAGUUUGAUCCUGGCUCAGGACGAACGCUGGCGGCGUGCUUAACACAUGCAAGUCGAGCGGUAAGGCCCUUCGGGGUACACGAGCGGCGAACGGGUGAGUAACACGUGAGCAAUCUGCCCAUCACUUCGGGAUAACUCCGGGAAACCGGUGCUAAUACCGAAUACGACCACUUCAGGCAUCUGAUGGUGGUGGAAAGUUCCGGCGGUGAUGGAUGAGCUCGCGGCCUAUCAGCUUGUUGGUGGGGUAACGGCCCACCAAGGCUUCGACGGGUAGCCGGCCUGAGAGGGUGACCGGCCACACUGGGACUGAGACACGGCCCAGACUCCUACGGGAGGCAGCAGUGGGGAAUAUUGGACAAUGGGCGAAAGCCUGAUCCAGCAACGCCGCGUGAGGGAUGACGGCCUUCGGGUUGUAAACCUCUUUCAGCAGGGACGAAGCGCAAGUGACGGUACCUGCAGAAGAAGCACCGGCCAACUACGUGCCAGCAGCCGCGGUAAUACGUAGGGUGCGAGCGUUGUCCGGAAUUAUUGGGCGUAAAGGGCUCGUAGGCGGUUUGUCGCGUCGGUAGUGAAAACUCAGGGCUUAACUCUGAGCCUGCUUCCGAUACGGGCAGACUAGAGGUAUGCAGGGGAGAACGGAAUUCCUGGUGUAGCGGUGAAAUGCGCAGAUAUCAGGAGGAACACCGGUGGCGAAGGCGGUUCUCUGGGCAUUACCUGACGCUGAGGAGCGAAAGUGUGGGGAGCGAACAGGAUUAGAUACCCUAGUAGUCC